This 253-nucleotide ribosomal RNA is filed under the name uncultured bacterium. RNAcentral's name for it is "partial 16S ribosomal RNA". It matches the Rfam family "Bacterial small subunit ribosomal RNA", at positions 524 to 776 of the family's 1533-position model. The record is from RNAcentral.
UACGGAAGGUUCGGGCGUUAUCCGGAUUUAUUGGGUUUAAAGGGAGCGCAGGCCGCAGGUUAAGCGUGUUGUGAAAUGUGGAUGCUCAACAUCUGAAUUGCAGCGCGUACUGGCUUGCUUGAGUACGCACAACGUUGGCGGAAUUCGUCGUGUAGCGGUGAAAUGCUUAGAUAUGACGAAGAACUCCGAUUGCGAAGGCAGCUGACGGGGGCGUUACUGACGCUGAGGCUCGAAAGUGCGGGUAUCGAACAGG